AGAGUUUGAUCCUGGCUCAGAUUGAACGCUGGCGGCAUGCCUUACACAUGCAAGUCGAACGGCAGCACGGGGGCAACCCUGGUGGCGAGUGGCGAACGGGUGAGUAAUAUAUCGGAACGUGCCCUGGAGUGGGGGAUAACUAGUCGAAAGAUUAGCUAAUACCGCAUACGAUCUACGGAUGAAAGUGGGGGACCCGCAAGGGCCUCAUGCUCCUGGAGCGGCCGAUAUCUGAUUAGCUAGUUGGUGAGGUAAAGGCUCACCAAGGCAUCGAUCAGUAGCUGGUCUGAGAGGACGACCAGCCACACUGGGACUGAGACACGGCCCAGACUCCUACGGGAGGCAGCGUGGGGAUUUGGACAUGGGCGCAGCCUGUCCAGCAUGCGGUGAGUAAGAGCUUCCGUUGAAGU
This 407-nucleotide ribosomal RNA is filed under the name uncultured Glaciimonas sp. RNAcentral describes it as "bacterial SSU rRNA". It matches the Rfam family "Bacterial small subunit ribosomal RNA", at positions 8 to 425 of the family's 1533-position model. Lineage: Bacteria; Pseudomonadati; Pseudomonadota; Betaproteobacteria; Burkholderiales; Oxalobacteraceae. The record is from RNAcentral.